UCCUGUUCUGAAGAUGGAGGAAGCUGAGGCACCAGUAACUUAAUGAACUCGCCCAAAGUGACAGAGACAGCAAAUGGCAAGCUGGCUGGUGAACCUGGAGGAACCCUCGUAUGACUCACCUUAAGUUCACCAAGAUGGACGGUGGCAGCAACAUGGCUUUGCUCUUGUCAAGCUCCCUACUCCCUUUUCCACAUCCCUCCGCUACAACUCCUUGUGUCUACUCCAUCCCAGGUCAAGAAACGACAUUGUUUUCCUGAGCCGCGGUGACAGCGAGGUGACAGAGAUUAAUAGCUUGGUAUUGACUGAGCAACUUCCAGUUCCUUAUCUCUGUCAAGUCAAGGCUGUGUCCAAGGGCUGAAAGUGUUAUUAGACUUAUAAUUGCAAAGACAUUUAAAGGGUUUCCCCUUAAGGGACUAUGAAAUCCAAUAAACCUUUCACAAAACCUCCAGCACCGGAGUGCGAAGCCCCGUCUGGGAGAGCGGCGCGCUCCCAGCCAAGCGCCGGGAAACCUUGAAGCCGCCAGCAUUGAAUAAUGUUUGAUUUAUGAAGUUGGUUUUGAAUUUGUAUCAGUUGUUUUAUUAAAAAUAUAUGAAAGGAAGUUUUAAAUAUGAGCAAGCCCUGUAGGAGCGCGUCUGCACCGAGCCGCUGUCUGGUUCAGCCUCCCACUGCCUCCAGGCUGGGUCCCUCCACCAGGGAGGAGCCAGGAGGGAGGGACCCUAGGCUAAUUUGCGGGGUUCAUUUGGUCUGCAGGGCGUAAGUCUCAAUUUCUCACCCAGGUUGAAGGAGGAAGGUGCAGGGGCUGGAGCAUGGGGAGUGGGUGGGUGUGGAGUCAGUGGCUAUGAGAUGCUGUCUGUGGGGUGGCCUGGGGACAUCUCUCAGCUGCACUUACUUGUCAAGAGCAACAUCAUCAGCUUAUGGGAGACGUGGUCCUGACCCCUUCAGGAAGGCUGCAGCACCAAAGGCUGCAGGCAGGGCGAAGGGUGGUUUGCAGGAGACCUGUUUGGGGUGCUGGAUGUAGGGGCAGGGGCUGUGGUGUGAGUUACAACUCUGGGCCUCCGUUUCCCUGCCCCCCUCCUCCCCCCCGAAACCCACUGAGCAAGGCUGGGAAUCAA
This is a long non-coding RNA of Sus scrofa (pig), 1112 nucleotides long. RefSeq lists it as uncharacterized. NCBI's taxonomy places the organism in Eukaryota, Metazoa, Chordata, Mammalia, Artiodactyla, Suidae. The record is from RefSeq and is a predicted model, not a curated record.